Molecule: ribosomal RNA, 253 nt
Filed under: uncultured bacterium
Lineage: Bacteria
Description: partial 16S ribosomal RNA
Rfam family: Bacterial small subunit ribosomal RNA
Source: RNAcentral
UACGGGGGGGGCAAGCGUUGUUCGGAAUUACUGGGCGUAAAGGGUUCGUAGGGGGCUUGCUAAGUCAGACGUGAAAUCCCUCAGCUUAACUGGGGAACUGCGUCUGAUACUGGCGAGCUUGAGUGCAGGAGAGGAACGCGGAAUUCCAGGUGUAGCGGUGAAAUGCGUAGAUAUCUGGAGGAACACCGGUGGCGAAGGCGGCGUUCUGGACUGCAACUGACACUGAAGAACGAAAGCCAGGGGAGCAAACGGG